This 15065-nucleotide long non-coding RNA is filed under the name Malus domestica (apple). RNAcentral describes it as "long non-coding RNA (MDOM_LNC007255)". Lineage: Eukaryota; Viridiplantae; Streptophyta; Magnoliopsida; Rosales; Rosaceae. The record is from RNAcentral.
GAGAAAGCAUCAUCAACCAAAACGACGUCGCAAGGAGGCUGACGAAGCAGCUGGUUCAGACCGAAGGCAAGCAGUCGAACCUCGUGUACUCGCCGCUGUCCAUCCACGUUGUGCUGAGCCUGAUCGCGGCCGGGUCAAAGGGUCCCACCCAGGAGCAGCUGCUGUCGUUCCUCAAGUCAAAGUCCACCGACCACCUCAACUCCUUCGCCUCCCAGCUCGUGUCCGUGAUCUUCUCCGACGGGUCCCCCGUGGGCGGCCCCAAGCUGGCGUUUGCGAAUGGGGUUUGGGUGCACAAGCCUCUCCCGCUGAAGCCUUCCUUCGAGCAGGUGGUGGACGCUUCUUACAAGGCCGCUCUUGCCCCAGUCGAUUUUCAGACCAAUGUAAGCUCCCAAACCCUCUGUCAUGUCGUAUCGAUAGUGUUUUUUUUCAAUGCUGCUCAUGAUCAAAGUCUUCAAUUUUUUUCGAUUUGAUUGGAGAUGUUUGUUCCUUUGUUGAACCUAAAUUGCAGGCCUGCUGAUGCUCUUUUAUUAUUGUAGCAUUUCAAAUAAAUAUUUCCUCUCUAAUCAUUACUGUUCGUGCUUGUUCUUCUGAAUAGCUUAGCUGUUACGAAAUCGUAUCGUAGAUUUUUUGUUCGUUACUGUUUGUGGUUGUAAUUGAUCGAGAUAUGCAGGCUGAUAUCAUUGUUUUCUAACUUGUCGUAACUGUUGUUGGUGCUCAAGGCUGCUCAAGUGGCGUCGGGAGUGAAUUCAUGGGCUGAAAAGGAGACGAGCGGCCUUAUCAAGGAUCUACUUCCUCCCGGGUCACUUGACAGCUCAACCAGGCUCAUCUUUACGAAUGCAUUGUACUUCAAGGGAGCUUGGAAUGAGAAAUUUGAUGCAUCAGCUACAAAAGAGCAUGACUUCCACCUUCUCGACGGGAGCACAGUUAAGGCGCCCUUCAUGACCAGCAAGAACAAGCAGUAUGUAAGUGCCUUUGACGGUUUCUCAGUCUUAGGGCUUCCUUACAGACAAGGUGAAGACAAGCGGCGCUUCUCCAUGCACAUCUUUCUUCCACAGGCGAAAGAUGGGCUGCCAGCUUUGGUUGAGAAACUUGGCUCUGAGUCCGGGUUUUUAGAUCGCUAUCUUCCCAAACAACCAGUUGCAGUGGGCGACUUCAGAAUCCCAAAGUUUAAGAUCUCAUUUGGGUUUGAAGCUUCCAAUGUCCUAAAGAGUCUGGGACUGGUGCUGCCUUUCGAGGGUGAAGGAGGUCUGACAGAGAUGGUGGACUCGCCCGAGGGUAAGAAGCUAUAUGUUUCUAGCAUAUUCCACAAGUCGUUCAUCGAAGUGAAUGAAGAAGGCACAGAAGCUGCAGCUGCUUCUGCCGGCGUUAUAAGUGAGAGGAGGAUGCCCAUGACAUUUGUGGCUGAUCGUCCAUUCCUCUUCACGAUCAGGGAAGAAACGACCGGAACAGUUCUGUUCAUCGGUAACCUGCUCAACCCUCUUGCCGGCUGAGUGUUACAACCCCCUGGGAAAGGGCAUCAGAUGUACGUAGAAUAAUACGCGCGAGACUGUAGUAAAUAAAAUGUAUGAUCCUUGUAUACAUGUACUAUGUUUGGUUAUUACCUAAUCACCCUGUACUUGCAGCAGUUGGUCUUGUUUCUCCCAUGUGGCGAUUUUUGUUUGUUCUCCCAUGGCGUUUAUCCAUGUGUAGAAUCUUGAUUCUGAAUACUUAUUUUAUGAUGUACUCUGUUUGAACAAUAAAAGUUUUAGCCGACUGCAAACGUCGGUUAGUGUUAAAGUAUUUAAUAUAUAGAAUGGACGAGUGCUAGUGUUGUACCAUACACAUGGUUGGUGAUGAAAAAGAUUAAACUUUGAAUAUUCUAUAAAAUAUUAUUUAACUUGGGACGAGGAUCUUCUUUGUGAGGAUCUUAUGAAUUAAUUUAUCUUAACGGUUCAUUGUACAUCGUGUGACCAUCUUUCAUUAGAUACUUUUUGUGUUAAAUUUUAAAUAAAUUCAAAAUAAUUUUUGGCUGCAGGAUGAUUGAUAAACAGAUAUGAUGCAUUGAUUCCUAAAGUCCUCACAAAGAGAAUCCGGAUGUUUAUAGUCCUCCAUGACUGGAGAUGGCCUAAGAUGCUAAACACUUAACACUACCCAAUUUUUCCAGUUAGUUAAAUUUUCACAAUUAGUGUAUUAAAUUGCUUAAGAAAUGUUAUCAGCACUCUAAAAUAAUUGACCAUAUUUUCUUGACUCUUUUGUUAAAUUGCAUGAAGAUUUUUUUGGAUAGUCAAUAAUAUCUCCCAAUUGCUUAACAUAGAAUUAAAUAGAGUAUCGCUAACUAGAGCAUGAUAUGUUUCUGUGUCUUUGAUGCCCUUUGCUCGAGAAAAUUUAGUAUAGGGUUUUCAUCACAAAUGGUCCCUGACAUUGAUCAAACACAUCAUUUUGGUCCCUGACAUUGAAAAUCAAUAGAAAUGGUCCCUGACAUUGAUCAAACACAUCAUUUUGGUCCCUGACAUUGAAAAUCAAUAGAAAUGGUCCCUGACAUUGAUCAAACACAUCACAAAUAGUCCUUCCGUUAAAAACGUUUUGGGCAAUUUUCAAAGCUUUGUAACUCAAUCGUUUCUUAACCAAAUUCGACCCAUAAUAUAUCAAAAUGAAGAUAGGAAAGUGUAGAACAAGAUUAUACCUAUUUGGAAACCCAAUGGUUGCCGGAGAUGGCCGGAAAACAGCCUCAAAUGUGACUGGUCCGCGAAAAAACUGGAAAACUCGCCUGAAAUGGGGUAAACUUUAAACAUUCAUAACUUCUUCAAUAAUCAACGAAAUCGAGUGAUUCAAAAAUGAAAAUCAUACUUCUCGACGAGACUAAGAGAAUGGUAGCUUUCUUGAUGGCUAACUCAUUGUAGUUUGGCCGGAAAAUGACUCGAAAUUGGCUAACUCGAAAAUGGUUAUCCAAGUUCGAGCCAUUUUCCGGUCAAACCACGGUAAAUUAGUAGUCAAUAAAGAUACCAUUAUCUUUCUCUCAUUGAGAAGUAUGAUUUUCAUUUUUGAAUCACUCAAUUUCAUUGAGUAUUGAAGAAGUUAUGAAUGUUUAAAGUUUACCCCAUUUCAGGCGAGUUUUUCAGUUUUUUCGCGGACCAGUCACAUUUGAGGCUGUUUUCCGGCCAUCUCCGGCAACCAUUGGGUUUCUAAAUAGGUAUAAUCUUGUUCUACACUUUCCUAUCUUCAUUUUGAUAUAUCAUGGGUCGAAUUUGGUUAAGAAACGAUUGAGUUACGAAGCUUUGAAAAUUGCCCAAAACGUUUUUAACGGAAGGACCAUUUGUGAUGUGUUUGAUCAAUGUCAGGGACCAUUUCUAUUGAUUUUCAAUGUCAGGGACCAAAAUGAUGUGUUUGAUCAAUGUCAGGGAUCAUUUGUGAUGAAAACCCUUUAGUAUAUGAACGACAAACUACGUGUUAUUACGGCCACAGACGAUAAUCCAGACUAUUUGUUUAAUACUUAAGCUUACUUGUGGUCCCAUUAUGUAAAAAAAUUUUGCAUUAGUCUGCACACAAGAAAUUUUUUAUUGGUUUCAGUUGAGCUCAAAUAAUAAUAAUCUGUUCGUGUAAAAGUUAAAAUUUAUCUUAUUAUGUAAUUGAUUUAAAAUACCGUAAAUACUGAUUUAAAAUUAUCUCAUUGUCAGCUUGUGUGUCAUUCUCGUAGAAUUUGGAAUUAUUCACAUUGUUUAGUAACGUAGGAUAUUUCAAGAAGCAUUUUUGCUCACUAUCAUUUAGUGUAAUGUAUAUUCAUCAUUCUAUUUAUCAUCGUUAGAUGAGUUUGAAUUUUAAGAUCCGUGUAGUGGAUAGACACAAAUUUCAAAAUUCAAUCUCAUCUAACGAUAAUAAAUAUGAUGAUGAACAUAAAUCAAAUAAAUGAUGAUGAAAAAAAAUACAUAGAUAUUUCAGUACAUGAAAACGUCACGUUAAUGAAAGGAGCUGGAGCGCCUGCUGCUGACCUCGGUCAAACAGACGGUGUGGGUUUCACGUGGCUGGCGCGAAAUCUAAACCGUUAAUUUAAUGUUAGUUAUCUCUCCCCUUGUCACGACUCCCAUGUAAUGCUGUAAAGUCACAAGCACCCAUCGUUUGGUUCUAAUAUUACAACAGUACCGCCCAUGGAAACACAAUCUUAAGCAAUCUCUAAUACUCAUAAUGUUGUUGAAGUUUUGCACUAAUAAUAGUUGCUAAACAGUGAUUAGACAGUCAGAUAAGAGACAGGGUUUAUGAUGUGAUUUGGACGUCCCAUCCUUUGCCACUUAAAAUGUCUUACCUACCAAACAUAUCUUGAAAAAUAAUUUAGCUUGGUACGAAGAAUCACAAUUUUUGUUUAUAAUUGACGAAAUCAAUCAAUGCAUGUUUUUUAUCAAAUCAAUAUUUAUUGGGAUAUUCAUCCUUAAAAUCUUCAUUUUGUUAUAAAACAACAAUAUAUUUAUUAUUUUUAAAAUUUUGUAAUACGUUUAUUUAAGUAGUGACUUUGAACGUUUUAAAAUUGAAAAAUCAAUAUUUAAAUGCAAAGUUGUCCGUUUUGAAUAAUCUCUAACAAUAUUUUCCUUCUCGUAAAUGAGUAAGAUUGGUUUAUUUUGUACACAAUUAGAUAUUGAGAGUUGAAAUUCUAAAUACUAAGUUCUUCUUAACAUAUUUUCGUAACCAUUUAAGAUGUUUGUAUAUUCGAAGAAUAUGGAAAAAUUGAAUCAACCCAGAUUAUUAUUAUGGCUGUCGACAUCUUUUAUCAGAGGAUAGCCAUCAAGUCACACCGCAUAUCCAGAAAGAGAAAUCCAUCCAAAAAAUAGGAAAACGAAAUGACAUUCCUUAUUUUCCUCCAUGGACGUCCCUUCUCUCCCCACCACGAAGGUCCCAGCUGAAAAGAAACGGAUGGCACAAUCGUGAUUAUCACAAACAGGAAUGUCAAAUUGUAGCAAGAGCAUGGUCAGCGCCGUUACAAAUAAGUGGAAGUUCCUCGGAAGAGUAAGAGAACGCGACAAUCAUAACGUAAUCUAUCUCUUCACUUUCUCAAUCCUUUUCUAUCUUUUUUUUCUUUCUGGGUUCCUUGUACUUCUCAUAAAUAUUAAGAGUUUAAUUCAAAAGAAAGGAACUUUCUCUUUCAUUGCUUACAUUUUUUUUUUCAGAUUAUUUACUUUCCCUUCCUUGCAGUUGCUUGGAAGAAACCAAGCUCAGAAGACCUUUGUUUUUUGAGAAUUCAGUUCAAUCCGUUUAUAUAUAUAUAUAUAUAUGGUGUUGAUGAUUUACCAGAAGUGAUAGUGCUUCAACCGAGAAGAAGAAGCUUUUAGUCUUCAGAAAUUCAGAGAAAAGAUAAGGAAGUGGAAGAGUGAAGGAAAAGCAAAUCAAAAGAUGGGAGAAACUGCUCCUCAUCCUCCACCACAGGUGGUUGCUCGGCCGUCUCAGAUGCCUCUUGGGGCAGCGAAGGGUCCCCAUUUGGACUCCAACUGAGCAGCUCCACAACCUUCAGUAUUGCAUCCACUCCAACCCCUCUUAGCGUUAGUCUCUCUCUGUUUCUGUUAAUUUCUUCGUUCUGGGUUUUAUAUUUUUUGAGUAAAAAGCUGAUUAAAGUUGUGCUAUUUUAAUGGGUUGGUUUAAAAGUUGAAGCUUUUGGCACUACUUCUUAUUUAGUUUACUAGUUUGCUUUUUAUUCCUAAUUUUGCAAAUUACUUUUACUAUUUUUGUUUCGGAUUCUCUAAUUUAUUGUGUUCGAAUCUUUUUAAGUACUGUAAUUAGUUCUAAUAAAAUAAUAAGCAUAUGUUCCAUUACCAGUUUCAACUUAUCCUGCUUACAAGACAUCGAUAUCACUCGAAAAUGUUUAGGAAGUGUAAACGUAAAUUUCCCAUGUUUAUCAAAUGCAACAAACUGCUUCUAAUGGAUCGAAUUUUACAGCGGAAACAUUCGUACUCGCUUUUCAGCACUAUAUUGUGAUGCUCGGAUCCAUAGUUAUAAUUGCCACUAGUUUCGUGCCUCGGAUGGGUGGGGAUCAUGUAAGUUAUGUCCUCUAUACAGUAAAGUUUAUAAUAUGCCGGUUAAGAUUAGCGAUCACACACGUAGCUUUGAAUCCGUGAUGUUAAUGUUUGGGUUUUGUUCUCCCUUUGUGAUCAGGGUGACAAGGCACGCGUGAUUCAGACGAUGCUGUUUAUGGCAGCAAUAAACACUUUGAUCCAAACAUUCACGGGACAAGGCUUCCAACAGUGAUGACUUCGUCAUUCGCUUUUACCCUUCCGGUGAUGUCAAUCAUCAAUGAUUAUUCUGAUCGGAAUUUUAGAAGUGAACAUGAGGUAUGUAAAGUUUGAAACAUGUUAUUCAUAGAGGAUUUAACAUCACAUUAAUUUACUUCUUAAAUUGCUUUAAGAAAUUUCAGUUAUAGACUUUGAGAUGAAAAAUACGUGGUGCAAAAAACGUGUAAACCUUACAUACCUGUAGAAGACGUCAUGAUGAAUUUCUGGUUUUGAGGACGGAAUAGAUUGAAGCACGUCCAUGCACUGUUGCGUCAUAUGCAACAAACUGAUGGGGAGUUCUAGGGUUGUGGCAUUAGCAAUGUGACAGGGACCUCAAACUUACAUAGGCCUCACGUCCCUAGAACCCUACCCACUAAUGGAGACUAGAAACUCUUAUGAUCCUCUAACGAGAAUAAUAAAGCCAAUGGAAAUGUUAGCACACAAUUGUUGUACAUAUAACAGACUUCGAGCAAUUUUUGGAACACGUAAAACAUUGUUAAGAAUAAGAUCAUGAGUAUUGGUUUUAAUGGUUGUUGCAUCAAUAUUCUUAAUGGAUAAACCUGUUCCAUUUCCAACUGUGAUUUUAUCAAAACCUUGGAAUGGUGUAACUUGAUUCAAUGUGGUGGCAUCAGCAGUGAUAUGAUGAGAUGCACCAGUAUCAACAAUCCAUGCAUCAUGAGGAAUAUAUUGUUCUAUCUGCUGUGUUGCCAUAGCUGUUAAGUUUGCAGGUGGUUGUUGGCCUUGAAAAACAUAAUUCCCUUUGUGAUAACAUUCAAGAGCUGAGUGACCUUUUUUUCCCACAAAUCUGACACUCCAUUUGAAAUCUAGUAUUUGGUGUAGUAGCAUUUCUGUGAAAACAAUUGACUGCAGUAUGCCCUUUCUUGUUGCAGAUUUGGCACUCAAUCACUGUUGUUGACCUGCUCUCUGUGUUUCCAUUCCACACAUUUGAACCAUUUGACCUUGAAUUGCCAUACGAAAAAUCAGAAGAGUUUCCUAUGUUGUAACCCUUGCUUUUGAAUCCACCAUUUGUCUUGUAAUUAUUGUUACCCUUGUAGUUUGAACCACCAAAAGGUUUCUGCAUGAAAUGAGGUAUUGGACCAGAAUUUGAUGCAUUAGCCAUAAACCCAAAACCAUAGGGAACUUGAGGAUAAACUGGACCAGGAAAUUGCGGAGACAUAGGAGGUUGAGGCAUAUGAGGUUGCUGUGGAUAUUGUUGUGGCAAGACAAAUGGCUGUGGUUAUUGUGGCUGUGGAUAUUGUUGUGGAUAUUGCUGUGGUAAAACAAAUGGCUCAGCAGAAUAUGGAUAUGGAUUAGGAGUUAUAACACCACCAGUGGUUGCAGGUAAAUGACUAUGCCCUGCAGGAUUAGACCCUGAAGCAAAUGAAUUUCCCUGAGUUGACUAAGAACCCUAAACAUAUAAGGCAGAUAGACUUUGAGACCCAACACUUGUGUCUCAUUCAAUCUCUUUUUCAGCUCUAAAUUUUUUCAAGGAAAUGGAUGAUUCUUUGCCAUAUAUCACAGUUCGAAUAGUUGCAUACUCCUUCGGCAAACCAGCUAAACCAGCAAUUAUAACAUCAUUAUCAGAAAUGAACUCUCCAGUAGCAGUUAAUUGUUCUCUUAUACUCUUCAAUCUUAACAGAUAUUUAUCCAUCAAAUCUCCUCAUUUUUGAAUGGUGUACAACUCAAUUUUUAAAUGAUUUACCCUAGUUUUAGACACUGAAGCAAAUCUAUCCACAAGAUUCGACCAAGCCUCACAAGCAGUUAAACAUCCAAGAACAUAUUUAAUAGCCUCAUCAAACAAAGUAGCUAGUAAAAGACUUAGUAAUGGAUAUGUGGAUUCCCAUUCAACAUAUUCAGCAAGUUCAGAAGUAACUCCUCUCUUAGUAUCUAUUACAAAUUUUUGUGGACAACCAAUAGUGCCAUCAAAAUGCCCAAACAAUUUAUGACCUUUCAACACAUAUUUGAACUGAAAAGCCCAUUUCACAAAAUUAUCAUCCUUCAACUUUAUUGUGAUCAUUCCCAGUUUCAACUUUAACACUUGAAGUAGUCAUGAUUUCUUGAUCGAACACAUAGAAUUUGCAAAUAACAAACAAACACCCAAAAAUUUCUGAUAUACGUAUUGAAAGGAAAGACUGAAACUUUCUCACAACCCAAGCAAGACUGAAACUCGCUUAAUACUCAGGAAAAACUGAAACUUUCUUGAUGAAUCUUGCACACAAAUACAACACACAAUUCCAAUUCGGAAAAGAAAACACAAAAUCUUCUAAUCAGGACUGAAACCCAAUUACUCAACAGAAAUUCACACUAUCACUUGAAUUGCAGCUGUGAUUGCAGCCACAAAUAGCCAGAAUACCAACCGCCAGAAAGAACAACAAGGAUCUGCAAUCGCCAGAACUUUUGAACAAACCCGUUGAAAAGACCUUUCAGAAUCCUUGAACUGGAUAGCAGCGAAAGAACUAGGAUCGAAAACGGUAGUGAACCAUGGUCAGCGAUGAUACCAUAUUAACAGUGUUGAAUUGUGGCCAAGUGGCCAUCACCUUUCGGCUAAUAAACAAACAAAGAAAAGAAAAAGAAAGACAAAAUGAUGAGGAAACAUCAUGAUGAGGAGGCAUCAUGAUUAUGCUUUCUUGUAGUUUUUUAAUAACCAUAAUUAUUGUUUUUGUUUCGGGUAGAAGAGAAGAAAGGGAGAGCUCAUUUUUUAGAAGAAAGCAUAUUAAAGAGAGAAGAGGAGAGAGAGAAGGUAGAGCCUUUUGGUUAUAAAAGGCAUUCGAUUAUGCCUUUGGAUGUGGGAGGGGGGGGAGCGGCAGAUGAGAGAGCACAGGGAGAGCAUUCGGCUCUCCCAUUUGAAUAUGAGCUGCUCCUUCCCACCAUUUGUAAUAAUCCCAUUUUGUUAGUAAUCACUCAAUCAAAGAUGUUGGUGCUACUUGUGUAGCUUUUGGGAGAGAAGGAUUUUGAUAUGUGUUUCUUCUUCUCCAUUUGUUUCUUAGUUUGAGUGAGAGCUAUUGGGUGUAUGUGGGAUUUGGGUUUGAGUGUUGAACUCUAUUUGUAAUCUCCUUUUGAUAUUAAUGGAAUUUCCUCGCCGUCUCGGAACUGGAUGUAGGCUUACGCCAAACCAGUAUAAAAAUCCUUGUGUCUUUUGGAUUAUUUGUCUUGUCAUAUUUUGCCGUUAUUAGCUUUGAUUUCAUAUUUGAAGCUUCCGCACAACAAGUGGUAUCAAAGCUCCGGGUUUCGACUUGGAGGCUUUGUACUAGUAUGUCUAUGAAAUCUUCAAAUGACGGUGAAAUAUGUUUUUUGGAAAAAUUCGACUGGAGGAAUGACUUUGGCAUUUGGUCAAUUGGAGAUGCAGAGUUUGGCUGCAAAAUGCGUGGCGUUGAAGAAGGAUAGUAAGGGACUAUGCUGCAGUCAUUGAGCUUGCAGAUUGGAGAAUGGUUUCGGAAACAGCGUGUCUGCUGCAAUGUUGCCGUCGAUGUUGUUGAAGUGUUGGUGUUCGACAGCUGCAGAUGUAGUGUACUGCUUUUGGUGGGUUCUCUGUUGGUCAUCGCUGCACCGGAGGUGUUUGUGGGCUGUUGUCGACGAGUUGAGUGGGAAGGAGAAAAGGUAGAAGCAGUUGAAAAUUGAAAAGAAAAUGUUGGUUCUUUUUCUUUCGGCAUUUGUUUUGGCAGAAGGACAUCAUGAUGACAAAUGAUGUUGUUGGCUGGAAGAAAAGGGAAAAAGGCUAAGGCUAAGUUUUCUUUUCUUUGGCAUUUUUUCAACGGCAGAAAAUUUUUGGUUCUUUUUUCACUCCCAUUAGUUGCCUUUGGAGCAAGUUGAUGGAAACAUUGGAGGAGUUUGUGAGGGCCAAUUUGUUGAGUUCUGCAAGUUUGGAUAGUGAGGCACCACACUAUUUUGGAUACACCACAUGCACUGCAGAACAUUUGUGUGGAACCCUCUUGUAGAAGGCAAGUUAUAUGCUUUCUAACUUUGUUUGGUCUAUGGACAUUUAGUUGGAUUUGUUUGCCACUGCUAUUUGGUUUGUUGGUCUCCAUCAUCUGCAAUUAGUUUUCUUGAAGACUCCAGUUGAGGUAUGGUUUUGGAUCUCCUGCUGAUUAUUUGAAUUUGAAAUUUUUGGUUGUCCUGUUGGUGCUCAUGUGAUGAUGGUAAACUUGAGUGGAGGGCAUAGUUUUUUUGUAUGUGGUAUGUUAGACCUUGUUGCCAAAUUUGUAAUCAGUUUUGACUUGGAGAAUAUGCCGUGCUAUUUGAAUGAGUCUAUUGAUGCAGUUUAAGACCAUGGUGUUUGUAAGCAGGUGGAGUUCGUUCUGUGUCCAACUUUGGUAUGGUGUGCUUGAUCUUUUGUUAGUGAUAUUGAAGAAUUUCAGUUCUUCGUUUGAAUCACUUUUGUUUUGAUCAAGGCACUUAUGGUUUGCAAAUUUGGAGAAUACGGUAGAGAAAUGGUCUACUUUUGUUGGCUUUGGUAUAAUUUGAGUCGAGGUGGAGAUCAUUAUGAGUACCGGAAAGUUUGGGGAAUUUGAUUUAGUUCCCGUUGUCUUUAGUUUGUACUUUGGGUGAUUAUGGUGAUUGUUGAUUCGAUUCUCUGUGAUGGUUUCGGAACUUGGCCAAGGUGGAGAUUGUUGAAUUGUGGCCAAGUGGCCAUCAUCGGCUAAUAAACAAACAAAAGAAAAGAAAAAGAAAGACAAAAUGAUGAGGAAACAUCAUGAUGAGGAGGCAUCAUGAUUAUGCUUUCUUCUUUUGUGGUUUUUUAAUAACCAUAAUUAUUGUUUGUUUAUUAGCCGAAAGGUGAUGGCCACUUGGCCACAAUUCAACAAUCUCCACCUUGGCCAAGUUCCGAAACCAUCACAGAGAAUCGAAUCAACAAUCACCAUAAUCACCCAAAGUACAAACUAAAGACAACGGGAACUAAAUCAAAUUCCCCAAACUUUCCGAUACUCAUAAUGAUCUCCACCUUGACUCAAAUUGUACCAAAGCCAACAAAAGUAGACCACUUCUCUACCGUCUUCUCCAAAUUUAAAUCCUAUGAAGAAAGGGAGAGCUCAUUUUUUAGAAGAAAGCAGAUUGAAGAGAGAAGAGGAGAGAGAAGGUAGAACCUUUUGGUUAUAAAAGGCAUUCGAUUAUGCCUUUGGAUGUGGGGAGAGCGGCAGAUGAGAGAGCACAGGGAGAGCAUUCGGCUCUCCCAUUUGAAUAUGAGUUGCUCCUUCCCACCAUUUGUAAUAAUCCAAUUUUGUUAGUAAUCACUCAAUCAAAGAUGUUGGUGCUACUUGUGUAGCUUUUGGGAGAGAAGGAUUUUGAUAUGUGUUUCUUCUUCUCCAUUUGUUUCUUAGUUUGAGUGAGAGCUAUUGGGUGUAUGUGGGAUUUGGGUUUGAGUGUUGAACUCUAUUUGUAAUCUUCUUUUGAUAUUAGUGGAAUUUCCUCGCCGUCUCGGAACUGGAUGUAGGCUUAUGCCGAACCAGUAUAAAAAUCCUUGUGUCUUUUGGAUUAUUUGUCUUGUCAUAUUUUGCCAUUAUUAGCUUUGGUUUCAUAUUUGAAGCUUCAGCAAUACAAACAGUACAAGAUCAAUGAAUUCCUAUGAAUGAAUAAACUAAAGAAAUCGAAGAAAGAGAAUAACGAGAGAGAAAAGCUUUUCAUUUAUAUUGCUCUAACAGAAAAUGAUUACAUGAUAAAAAUCUAAGUCUCCAAAACAAUAAUUAUAUAGAGACUAGAAUGAGCAGAAUCACAAUAUUGCCUUUCUAACUAAUUCUUAUCUUCUAACAACCUCAACACUCACAAGCUUGACACUUGUCAUUUCUUACAACCACUCCUAACAAAUCCUAACUGUUUAUCUGGUUAAUAUAACGGAUGGCCGACGACCGACACCGAGAUUUUCCCAAACCUUGGUCCUUACUCUCGUAUAAAUUCGAAACGAACAGUAAACAAUUUUCUCGCAAUCGGAAGCACGGCAAACAUGGAUCUGAGAGAAAGCAUCAUCAACCAAAACGACGUCGCAAGGAGGCUGACGAAGCAGCUGGUUCAGACCGAAGGCAAGCAGUCGAACCUCGUGUACUCGCCGCUGUCCAUCCACGUGGUGCUGAGCCUGAUCGCAGCCGGGUCAAAGGGUCCCACCCAGGAGCAGCUGCUCUCAUUCCUCAAGUCAGAGUCCACCGACCACCUCAACUCCUUCGCCUCCCAGCUCCUGCCCUUUAUCUUCUCCGAUGGGUCCCCCGUGGGCGGCCCCAAGCUGGCGUUUGCGAAUGGCGUUUGGGUGCAGAAGCCUCUCCCUCUGAAGCCUUCCUUCAAGCAGGUGGUGGAAGCUUCUUACAGGGCCGCUCUCGUCCUAGUUGAUUUUCAGACCAAUGUAAGCUCCCAAACCCUCUGUCAUGUCGUUUCGAUUGUUUUUGUCGAUGCUGCUCAUGAUCAAAGUCUUUGGUUGUAAUUUCAGACCAAUGUUUCAAUGUCGAUGCUGCUGAUGCUCUUUUGUUCGUUACUGUUUUUGGUUGUAAUUGAUCGAGAUAUGCAGGUUGAUAUCAUUGUUUUCUAACUUGUCGUAACUGUUGUUGGUGCUCAAGGCUGCUCAAGUGGAGUCGGAAGUGAAUUCAUGGGCUGAAAAGGAGACGAGCGGCCUUAUCAAGGAUCUACUUCCUCCCGGGUCACUUGACAGCUUCACCAGGCUCAUCUUUACCAAUGCAUUAUACUUCAAGGGAGCUUGGAAUGAGAAAUUUGAUGCAACAGCUACAAAAGAGCAUGACUUCCACCUUCUCGACGGGAGCACAGUUAAGGCGCCCUUCAUGACCAACAAGAACCAGCAGUAUGUAAGUGCCUUUGACGGUUUCUCAGUCUUAGGGCUUCCUUACAAACAAGGUGAAGACAAGCGGCGCUUCUCCAUGCACAUCUUUCUUCCACAGGAGAAAGAUGGGCUGCCAGCUUUGGUUGAGAAACUUGGCUCUGAGUCCGGGUUUUUAGAUCGCUAUCUUCCCAAACAACCAGUUGCAGUGGGCGACUUCAGAAUCCCAAAGUUUAAGAUCUCAUUUGGGUUUGAAGCUUCCAAUGUCCUAAAGAGUCUGGGACUGGUGCUGCCUUUCGUGGGUGGAGGUCUGACAGAGAUGGUGGACUCGCCCGAGGGUAAGAAGCUAUAUGUUUCCAACAUAUUCCACAAGUCGUUCAUCGAAGUGAAUGAAGAAGGCACAGAAGCUGCAGCUGCUUCUGCCGGCGUUAUAAGUGAUAGGAGGAUGCCCAUGACAUUUGUGGCUGAUCGUCCGUUCCUCUUCACGAUCAGGGAAGAAACGACCGGAACAGUUCUGUUCAUCGGUAACCUGCUCAACCCUCUUGCCGGCUGAGUGUUACAAUCCCCUGGGAAAAGGCAUCAUGUGUACGUAGAAUAAUACGAGAGUAUAGUAAAUAAAAUGUAUGAUCCUUGUAUACAUGUGCUAGGUUUGGUUAUUACCUAAUCACCCUGUACUUGCCGCAGUUGGUCUUGUUUCUCCCAUGUGGCGAUUGUUGCUCGUUCUCCCAUGGCGUUUAUCUAUUUGUACAAUCUUGAUUCUGAAUACUUAUUUUAUGUUGUACUCUGUUUGAACAAUUAAAGUUUUAGCCGACUGCAAACGUCGGUUAAGUGUUAAAGUAUUUGGACAGGGAUUGUCUGCUUUUUCAUUUUUCGUGUCCUUCUGUUUUGUGUGUUCACAGUUAAACUACGUCAAUAUUUUAUAUUAUUUUUUUAUAGAAAUAAUAAGAUAAAAAUAAAUAAUAAUAUAAAAUAUUAACGUGACUUAACUGUAACCACACAAACAGGAGGGCACGGAAGACCACCGGAAGUGGAAGAGCGGACAUUCUUGUCCAAAGUAUUUAAUAUAUAGAAUGUACGAGUGCUAGUGCUGUACCAUAUACAUGGUUGGUGAUGAAAAGGAUUAAACUAUGAAUAUUCUAUAAAAUAUUAUUUACCCUAGGACGAGGAUUUUCUUUGGAUCUUCUUUACGAGGAUCUUAGGAAUUAAUUCAUUUUAACGGUUUAUUGUACAUCGUACGGUCAACUUUCGUUAGAUACUUUUUAUGUUUAAUUUUAAAUAAAUUCAAAAUAAUUUUUCACUGCAUGAUGCAUUGAUUCCUAAAGCACUCGCAAAGAGACUCCAGAUGUUUAGUUCUCCAUGACUGGAGAUGGCCUAAGAUGCUAAACACUUAACACUAACCAAUUUUUCCGGUUAGUUAAAUUGUUUAAUAAAUGCUAUCCACACUCUAAAAUAAUUGACCAUAUUUUCUUGACUCUUUUGUUAGAUUGCAUGAAAUAUUGUUCGAGUAAAUAAUCUCUCAAGUAUCACUCAGACUUCAUAAUGAUUUUGAUUUUGAUUACAUAGUAAGCAUGUCAUUAAGGUCAAAUUUUGAACAAACACCCAAUUACAUAGCACGCAUGUUAUUAUGGUGUAUGCUCAUUGUCACUUUCAAAACUUGACACCUGUCUACUAACAUAACCGAUGGCCGACGACCGACACCUUCCCAAACCUUGGUCCUUACCCUCGUAUAAAUUCGAAACGAACAGUAAACAAUUUUCUCGCAAUCGGAAGCACGGCAAACAUGGAUCUGAGAGAAAGCAUCAUCAACCAAAACGACGUCGCAAGGAGGCUGACGAAGCAGCUGGUUCAGACCGAAGGCAAGCAGUUGAACCUCGUGUACUCGCCGCUGUCCAUCCACGUGGUGCUGAGCCUGAUCACAGCCGGGUCAAAGGGUCCCACCCAGGAGCAGCUGCUCUCAUUCCUCAAGUCAAAGUCCACCGAUCACCUCAACUCCUUCGCCUCCCAGCUAGUGUCCGUGAUCUUCUCCGAUGGGUCCCCCGUGGGCGGCCCCAAGCUGGCGUUUGCGAAUGGGCUUUGGGUGCACAAGC